UACGUAUGUCCCGAGCGUUAUCCGGAUUUAUUGGGCGUAAAGCGAGCGCAGGCGGUUGUUUAAGUCUGAUGUGAAAGCCCGGAGCUCAACUCCGGAAUGGCAUUGGAAACUGGUUAACUUGAGUGUUGUAGAGGUAAGUGGAACUCCAUGUGUAGCGGUGGAAUGCGUAGAUAUAUGGAAGAACACCAGUGGCGAAGGCGGCUUACUGGACAACAACUGACGUUGAGGCGCGAAAGUGUGGGUAGCAAACAGG
This 253-nucleotide ribosomal RNA is filed under the name uncultured bacterium. Its description in RNAcentral is "partial 16S ribosomal RNA". It matches the Rfam family "Bacterial small subunit ribosomal RNA", at positions 524 to 776 of the family's 1533-position model. The record is from RNAcentral.